RNAcentral lists this non-coding RNA (31 nucleotides) under Macaca fascicularis (crab-eating macaque). RNAcentral also lists the same sequence under 1 other name. The record is from RNAcentral. Lineage: Eukaryota; Metazoa; Chordata; Mammalia; Primates; Cercopithecidae.
UACAGACAAUAAAUAUGAUGCCGUUCAUGAA